RNAcentral lists this non-coding RNA (45 nucleotides) under Trichobilharzia regenti. Lineage: Eukaryota; Metazoa; Platyhelminthes; Trematoda; Strigeidida; Schistosomatidae. The record is from RNAcentral.
AUCCAGCCGACGAGUCCCAAAUAGGACGACAUGCGCAUUUUGGAU